RNAcentral lists this ribosomal RNA (253 nucleotides) under uncultured bacterium. Its description in RNAcentral is "partial 16S ribosomal RNA". It matches the Rfam family "Bacterial small subunit ribosomal RNA", at positions 524 to 776 of the family's 1533-position model. The record is from RNAcentral.
UACGUAGGUGGCAAGCGUUGUCCGGAUUUACUGGGCGUAAAGGGCGCGUAGGCGGCCUGCUAAGUCGGGUGUGAAAACUCUGGGCUCAACCCAGAGCCUGCAUUCGAUACUGACGGGCUAGAGUACUGGAGGGGAAAGCGGAAUUCCUGGUGUAGCGGUGAAAUGCGUAGAUAUCAGGAGGAACACCGGUGGCGAAGGCGGCUUUCUGGACAGUAACUGACGCUGAGGCGCGAAAGCUAGGGGAGCAAACAGG